GCUCACUGAAGUAAUUUUUAAGAGCCGCAGUAUCCUAACUGUGCUAAGGUAGCAUAAUCAUUUGUCACUUAAUUAGUGACUAGUAUGAAAGGCUUAACGAGGGACCGACUAUCUUUUAUUUAACAAAUAAAAUUAACUUAUUAGUUAAAAGGCUAGUAUAAUCUAAAAAGACGAGAAGACCCUAUAGAGCUUAGCAAAAAAUUUUGUAAGAUAUUUAAAAUUACUAGAAUAAUUGCUUGAUUGGGGUGAUUAAAAGAUAAACAAAACUCUUUUUUAAAUUUUACUUUAUAAUAGAUCUACUGAUCCGUCCUUAACGAUUACAAGAAAAAGUUACCUUAGGGAUAACAGCGUAAUACUUAUUAAAAGCCCAAAUCGACAUAAGUGUUUGCGACCUCGAUGUUGGACUAAAAUUAAAAUAUGAUGCAGCAGUCAUAUACUUUAGGUCUGUUCGACCUUUAAAUUUUUACACGAUCUGAGUUCAGACCGGCGAAAGCCAGGUUG
RNAcentral lists this ribosomal RNA (501 nucleotides) under Weltneria bekae. RNAcentral's name for it is "partial 16S ribosomal RNA". It matches the Rfam family "Bacterial large subunit ribosomal RNA", at positions 1907 to 2633 of the family's 2925-position model. Lineage: Eukaryota; Metazoa; Arthropoda; Thecostraca; Lithoglyptida; Lithoglyptidae. The record is from RNAcentral.